UUUUUUGAUUUUAAUUUAAGAUCAGGCCUGCCCAUUGAUUUUUAAGAAUUAAAAGGCUGCGGUAUUUUAACUGUACGAAGGUAGCAUAAUCAUUUGUCUUUUAAUUGGAGGCUAGUAUGAAUGGUUUGAUGAGAUAUAAUCUUUCUUUAUUUAAUUUAAAUGAACUUAAUUUUUCAGUUAAAAAGCUGAAAUUUUUAUAUAGGACGAGAAGACCCUAUAGAAGUUGACUUUAUUUAUUAAUUUUUGUUUUUUGUUUAUAUAACUAUAUUUUAGAAUAUAAAGUUUUGUUGGGGUGACAUUAAAAUUUAAUUAACUUUUAAUUUUUUUUUCAUUAAUUUAUGUUUAUUUUGAUCCAUUAUUUAUGAUUAAAAGAUUAACUUACCUUAGGGAUAACAGCGUAAUUUUUUUGGAGAGUCCAUAUC
RNAcentral lists this ribosomal RNA (422 nucleotides) under Eotrechus petraeus. RNAcentral describes it as "partial 16S large subunit ribosomal RNA". The record is from RNAcentral. Lineage: Eukaryota; Metazoa; Arthropoda; Insecta; Hemiptera; Gerridae.